This 301-nucleotide ribosomal RNA is filed under the name uncultured bacterium. RNAcentral describes it as "partial 16S ribosomal RNA". It matches the Rfam family "Bacterial small subunit ribosomal RNA", at positions 509 to 807 of the family's 1533-position model. The record is from RNAcentral.
CAGUAGCCGCGGUAAUACGUAGGGUGCAAGCGUUAAUCGGAAUUACUGGGCGUAAAGCGUGCGCAGGCGGUUUGUUAAGACAGAUGUGAAAUCCCCGGGCUUAACCUGGGAACUGCAUUUGUGACUGGCAAGCUAGAGUAUGGCAGAGGGGGGUGGAAUUCCGCGUGUAGCAGUGAAAUGCGUAGAUAUGCGGAGGAACACCGAUGGCGAAGGCAGCCCCCUGGGCCAAUACUGACGCUCAUGCACGAAAGCGUGGGGAGCAAACAGGAUUAGAUACCCCCGUAGUCCCUGUCUCUUAUAC